AUUAAUCGGGUCUGUUGCUCCGUGUAGCUGAAAUCAACCGGUUUCUCACCUUGAGGAGCCUCCUCAGAAGCACCAUGCAUCCCCUCCUUCUUCGACUCCUUGUAUCCUCCACCCUCACCCUGGUCUGCCUCCUUUGGCAUGCUAAGGUCUGCAAGAUAACAGAUGACGUUUAAAGUUGCAAAUGCGCAGUUAUGUGAAACGCUGCAAAAGUGCUGAAAGUCAGGACAAUGCCCAGCGAUUGCAGUAUAUGCGACACAUUCUAGCUAUACAUGCAGGACUGUUACAUCAGUGAAGGGUGUUUGUGGUGGGAUUUUCAUGUCACAGUAAAAAACAGAAGGAGAGCUGCAGGUUUGUUGUGAUGUACAGAUGAUGACAUCACCUAGACGGAAGGUGGGGACGAGCGCGAUGCUAAGAUGACUUGAGGCGGUGUGCACGACAGAGGUAAACAAAACCUCACGGCACUGUGUCUGCCAUUGAGUGUAAUCUGCGGAAACGUUACUAACCUUGCAGUCGUCAGCCCCGAGGAAAGAGACGGGUUAGCUGUGAAGCUCAACUUGUCUGGCUAACGUUAGCGUUAGUCAGCGUGAACACAACAACAACAACAAAGCCUUGUGACACAGCUAAUCCUUCAUAGCCUCUGUCAUGGCGGAGUUAUCACUGUCACUGUUAUUCACAACUUCACCACUGCCAGACACCGUCUUCAACAGAAGGAAGGCUUUGUUUCAUCCCAGAAAACUCGGGCUUUUUAAUGCCGCAGCCCUGCACUGACGGGGUCGCCGCUAACCAAGCGACUCUUCCUGUUUUGGGUGGAGCUAACAUGACGUAAGAGCCGAGCCCUCUCGUGCACACAACAAACACAAAGGAUAUCAUCACAUUAUCUUCAAUAUCAGCAAGCACUGAGGGUGUACUCCCGAUGUAAACCGGGUUUGGCUCCAGCCCCCAGCGGACCCUGUACGCAGCGUAAGCGGUUGACGAUGGAUGGAUGGAUGGAUUUCGAACAUGAUAAAUAAAGAAGAAAAAACACAAAGCUGAAGGUGCUGGAAAACGUGGGAAUUGCUGGGAAGAAUAUUAGGCUAUUUCCUUUCUUCAUCUGCUCUAGAAGUACAUAGAAGUAUUGAGCCUACAACGCAUACAGCAGCCAGUAUGAGCACAUUGGAUCAAAGUCUCACACCACCCCACUAUCUGCAGUCAGUACUCAAUAGUGUGUACACUCAACAAACAAAUUUCUUUCCGCAGUAUUCCUUGGGGUCAAUAUUAAUCAUCUCAACAUUAUGAAUAAGUUAUAAUUUUGAUUCAAUAGACCUCACAUUUGGCAAGAAAAGUCUAGAUCAAGCUGCUCAAACGUUACCAGUAUAUAGAGAUUUCUUAUACAAUUCAUUUUCAACUUAAUAAAUCAAGUUUUCCUGUGAUGGACUGGCGACAUGUCCAGUGUCAUAUGGGACUAACUCCUACCACCCACGAUCCUGCACAGAGACGCGAGUAUAGAGAAUGAAUGGAUUUAUAUUUAAGAGAAACACAGUGAAGAAUAUAUCAACUGUUUAUUUUGUUCAAUAACACAAAUACAGUGCAAUCAUACCUCCACAAAGAUUUAUUGUCAGUCAUAAACAUUUCUUUGAAGUCAGUCAGCUUGUGUCUAACUGACCAAGUAUUUACCCAAAAUGUAAAAGGCAAAAACGGCUGUAGAAGAUAUCAGAGACACAUAGCCUAUGCUAAAUGCAAUCUAUAGCACUCGAACAGCAGAUUCCCCAAAGUACUGGAUAAAUAUCUCUGGGUGGGCUUGGUAAAACUGUCCAAGUAGGCGCUUUCUCUCCUUGGCAGACAUCUUGGUGUCCAGCUGGAUGCUGUUUAGCAGAGCCCACAGUUCCUGGUUGGUGGACUUCUUUGUAGUAUCAGCGUGAGUCCUGCUGGAGACCUGCUGACAGAAUGUAUAGCCUGAAGGACAGAAGAGAAAAAACAUAAUGUUAACAGGGAGUGUUUGUUCAUUAUUAUAGAAACCAGGUAACUGUCACUCACAAAUCGCAACAACUGGGACUUCAAACAGCAAUAAAUUAUUAGUUUUAGCCACAACACUAACAAUAUUAACAUAUCACCAUAUAAGAUUGUUAAGGGAAAUGUGUUAGUAAGCACAAGCUCACUUCUAGCAGUUGGAUUUUCUGGCCAAAUAUAUGGUCAGUAUUAUACUGUAUUUCAUUAGCUCUGUGCCUGUACUCUACAAAAUGACAAGAUUAAAGUAAUCUAAAAUUUAA
Long non-coding RNA from Micropterus dolomieu (smallmouth bass), 2246 nucleotides. RefSeq lists it as uncharacterized. The transcript is spliced from 3 exons. The record is from RefSeq and is a predicted model, not a curated record. NCBI's taxonomy places the organism in Eukaryota, Metazoa, Chordata, Actinopteri, Centrarchiformes, Centrarchidae.